GCCGUGGCUCAGUGAUAGAGCAUCUGCUUGGCACUCCAAAGGUCCUGGGUUCAAACCCCAUCAUCUCCA
RNAcentral lists this transfer RNA (69 nucleotides) under Sphaerodactylus townsendi. Its description in RNAcentral is "tRNA-Ala". The record is from RNAcentral. Lineage: Eukaryota; Metazoa; Chordata; Lepidosauria; Squamata; Sphaerodactylidae.